RNAcentral lists this ribosomal RNA (505 nucleotides) under uncultured bacterium. RNAcentral describes it as "partial 16S ribosomal RNA". It matches the Rfam family "Bacterial small subunit ribosomal RNA", at positions 28 to 507 of the family's 1533-position model. The record is from RNAcentral.
GACGAACGCUGGCGGCGUGCCUAAUACAUGCAAGUAGAACGCACAGUUUAUACCGUAGCUUGCUACACCAUAAACUGUGAGUUGCGAACGGGUGAGUAACGCGUAGGUAACCUGCCUGGUAGCGGGGGAUAACUAUUGGAAACGAUAGCUAAUACCGCAUAAUAUUGAUUAUUGCAUGAUAAUUGAUUGAAAGAUGCUAUUGCAUCACUACCAGAUGGACCUGUGUUGUAUUAGCUAGUAGGUGAGGUAACGGCUCACCUAGGCGACGAUACAUAGCCGACCUGAGAGGGUGAUCGGCCACACUGGGACUGAGACACGGACCAGACUCAUACGGGAGGCAGCAGUAGGGAAUCUUAGGCAAUGGACGAAAGUCUGACCGAGCAACGCCGCGUGAGUGAAGAAGGUUUUCGGAUCGGAAAGCUCUGUUGUAAGAGAAGAACGGGUGUGAGAGUGGAAAGUUCACACUGUGACGGUAGCUGACCAGAAAGGGACGGCUAACUACGUG